CGAGCGGUACAGGGGUAGCUUGCUACCCGCUGACGAGCGGCGGACGGGUGAGUAAUGCAUAGGAAUCUGCCCGAUAGUGGGGGAUAACCUGGGGAAACCCAGGCUAAUACCGCAUACGUCCUACGGGAGAAAGGGGGCUUUGGCUCCCGCUAUUGGAUGAGCCUAUGUCGGAUUAGCUAGUUGGUAAGGUAAUGGCUUACCAAGGCAACGAUCCGUAGCUGGUCUGAGAGGAUGAUCAGCCACAUCGGGACUGAGACACGGCCCGAACUCCUACGGGAGGCAGCAGUGGGGAAUAUUGGACAAUGGGGGCAACCCUGAUCCAGCCAUGCCGCGUGUGUGAAGAAGGCCCUCGGGUUGUAAAGCACUUUCAGCGAGGAAGAACGCCUGUCGGUUAAUACCCGGUAGGAAAGACAUCACUCGCAGAAGAAGCACCGGCUAACUCCGUGCCAGCAGCCGCGGUAAUACGGAGGGUGCAAGCGUUAAUCGGAAUUACUGGGCGUAAAGCGCGCGUAGGUGGCUUGAUAAGCCGGUUGUGAAAGCCCCGGGCUCAACCUGGGAACGGCAUCCGGAACUGUCAGGCUAGAGUGCAGGAGAGGAAGGUAGAAUUCCCGGUGUAGCGGUGAAAUGCGUAGAGAUCGGGAGGAAUACCAGUGGCGAAGGCGGCCUUCUGGACUGACACUGACACUGAGGUGCGAAAGCGUGGGUAGCAAACAGGAUUAGAUACCCUGGUAGUCCA
Molecule: ribosomal RNA, 736 nt
Filed under: Halomonas sp. RHS-str.X 19b
Lineage: Bacteria; Pseudomonadati; Pseudomonadota; Gammaproteobacteria; Oceanospirillales; Halomonadaceae
Description: bacterial SSU rRNA
Rfam family: Bacterial small subunit ribosomal RNA
Source: RNAcentral